This 211-nucleotide non-coding RNA is filed under the name Chromera velia. The record is from RNAcentral. Lineage: Eukaryota; Chromeraceae.
AAGGCAAAGAAAGAAACAAAGGAGACAGAGGAAACAAGAGAAAGAAUCAGUGGAGGCAGGAUGCCAUCUGUUUGUUCCAGUUCUGCCUCUCCCUCUUCCCAGCCUCCCGUUUUUCCUGCUUCCUCUGCUUCUUCUUUACCUCCCCCUUCUUUUUCAUUUCCCCCUUUUCUGAAUCAAGACAGGAAGGAAAGAAUGGAAGAAAGAAAUGGAA